CCUACGGGAGGCAGCAGUGGGGAAUAUUGCGCAAUGGGCGAAAGCCUGACCCAGCAACGCCGCGUGAGGGAAGAAGGCUUUCGGGUUGUAAACUUCUAUUGACAGGGAAGAGCAGAAGACGGUACCUGUCGAAUAAGCCACGGCUAACUACGUGCCAGCAGCCGCGGUAAUACGUAGGUGGCAAGCGUUGUCCGGAUGUACUGGGUGUAAAGGGCGGGUAGCCGGGCUGACAAGUCAGAUGUGAAAUACGGGUGCUCAACUCCCGAACUGCAUUUGAAACUGUCGGUCUUGAGUAUCGGAGAGGCAGGCGGAAUUCCUAGUGUAGCGGUGAAAUGCGUAGAUAUUAGGAGGAACACCAGUGGCGAAGGCGGCCUGCUGGACGACAACUGACGGUGAGGCGCGAAAGCGUGGGGAGCAAACAGGAUUAGAUACCCGUGUAGUC
This 442-nucleotide ribosomal RNA is filed under the name uncultured bacterium. RNAcentral describes it as "partial 16S ribosomal RNA". It matches the Rfam family "Bacterial small subunit ribosomal RNA", at positions 338 to 795 of the family's 1533-position model. The record is from RNAcentral.